Molecule: ribosomal RNA, 791 nt
Filed under: uncultured delta proteobacterium
Lineage: Bacteria; Deltaproteobacteria
Description: bacterial SSU rRNA
Rfam family: Bacterial small subunit ribosomal RNA
Source: RNAcentral
GGGCUUCGGCCCCGGUAAAGUGGCGCACGGGUGAGUAACACGUAGGUAACCUACCCUCGAGUGGUGGAUAACCCUCCGAAAGGAGAGCUAAUACAGCAUAAGACCACGGCAUUCCGAUGCUGCGGAAAAAGCGGGCCUCUCUAUAGAAGCUCGUGCUCGAGGAUGGGCCUGCGGCCCAUCAUGCUAGUUGGCGAGGUAAUGGCUCACCAAGGCUAAGACGGGUAGCUGGUCUGAGAGGAUGAACAGCCACACUGGAACUGAGACACGGUCCAGACUCCUACGGGAGGCAGCAGUGGGGAAUCUUGCGCAAUGGGCGAAAGCCUGACGCAGCGACGCCGCGUGAGCGAUGAAGGCCUUCGGGUUGUAAAGCUCUGUGGGGAGGGAAGAAUAAGCCUAGGCUAAUACCACUAGGUGAUGACGGUACCUCCUUAGCAAGCACCGGCUAACUCUGUGCCAGCAGCCGCGGUAAGACAGAGGGUGCAAACGUUGUUCGGAAUUACUGGGCGUAAAGCGCGUGUAGGCGGCUAUGCAAGUCGGGCGUGAAAUCCCACGGCUCAACCGUGGAAGUGCACUCGAAACUGCGUAGCUAGAGUCCCGGAGAGGAAGGUGGAAUACUUGGUGUAGAGGUGAAAUUCGUAGAUAUCAAGUGGAACACCGGUGGCGAAGGCGGCCUUCUGGACGGUGACUGACGCUGAGACGCGAAAGCGUGGGGAGCAAACAGGAUUAGAUACCCUGGUAGUCCACGCCGUAAACGAUGAGUGCUAGGUGUCACGGGCUUUGACCCUCGUGGU